Molecule: ribosomal RNA, 524 nt
Filed under: uncultured bacterium
Lineage: Bacteria
Description: partial 16S ribosomal RNA
Rfam family: Bacterial small subunit ribosomal RNA
Source: RNAcentral
GACGAACGCUGGCGGCGUGCCUAAUACAUGCAAGUCGAGCGCAGGAAGCCGUCUGAACCCUUCGGGGGGACGACGGUGGAAUGAGCGGCGGACGGGUGAGUAACACGUAAAGAACCUGCCCAUAGGUCUGGGAUAACCACGAGAAAUCGGGGCUAAUACCGGAUGUGUCAUCGGACCGCAUGGUCCGCUGAUGAAAGGCGCUCCGGCGUCGCCCGUGGAUGGCUUUGCGGUGCAUUAGCUAGUUGGUGGGGUGACGGCCCACCAAGGCGACGGUGGGUAGCCGAGCUGAUAGGGUGAUCGGCAAGACUGGGACUGAGACACGUCCAAGACUCCUAAGUGAGGCAUCAGUAGGGAAUCUUCCAAAAUGGACGAAAGGCUGAUGGAGCAACGCAGCGUGAACGAUGAAGGCUUUCGGGUCUUAAAGUUCUGUUGUAAGUGAAGAACAGGUGCCGCAGGCAAUGGCGGCACCUUGACGGUACCUUGCGAGAAAGCCACGGCUAACUACGUGCCAGCCGCCGCCGUAA